CAAAUUGCCAUCAGGUGGAGCCUUGAACAUAACGAGCCUCUCGUCCUAUUUGAAACCCUCAACCGAUGCACCACAUUUCCUGAUGGACGUUAUCCAGAGCAGCAGAACGUCACUUGUACUGAUUCUCGAUUUAACGCCACGCAAGGACCUCAUCUUAAAUCUCGACUACCUUAAAACUUACUAUGAAGACACUCAGUUGGACACGUACAGACAACGCCUUCAGAGGCUACCUGAGGUAAGACCUUAUUUCUCGCCAUCUUUAUAUAUCCGCUCUGUUCUUUCUCCUACAGCUAUACUAGUUAGCAUCGACACUGGAGAUGGUGAAAAAAGUGUUGAGGAAAUGAUUCAAGAACAUAUCAAUCCUAUUGCCAAGGAGAUAGUGCAAUUCUGGUUGGAUAAGUGUGCUUCUGUGGAGAAACAAGUGGGAGAAACUGAGAGGGCUUAUUUGGUAAAGAGGGAUCAAAUAAUUAAGAGUAAGACCAUUGAGGUUGAUCUAGCUUCGAGCUUUCCAAGACCUGAUGCACAGUAUUUUGAAAAUCCAAAUGGUAGUGCACAUGCUUCUCUCCACCUCAGAUCUGGUGUUUCCUCCUCACAGGUAACGUAUCCUUUUUUUUUCCUUCAUGUUUUGUAGUUGGUCCAGCAAUGGAUAUGGAGUUUAUAUCGGAAAAUAUAUUGUAGAUAAAUAAUGGUUCCUGUAGCUAAGAUUUUCAACAGUGCUGAGUUAAUUUAAUCAAUGGUCACUGCACUUUGCUAAAGGUUGCUCACCGAAAUUUGAACAAAUUUAUAAGGUUACUAAUGAUUAUCUUGUUAUUUUCCCCACAGUGGCUGAAUUUGUCGAAUUUGACAGGAUAGUUGAUACGCAUACGCAUACGCAUACGCAUACGCAUACGCAUCUGAAAAGAUAUUGCCCUCUUACAUGGAAUUACAAAUUAUGACUUAUAGAAUUGGAUUACUUGAGUUCAAGUUUGAAGCAAUGGUUGAGAAAGUUUUGAUCCUGAGCAGAAAUGGUUUAUAGCAUAAAUCAUUGUUCCUAAAUGAGAAAAUAAUCCGUUGUGCUUGUGUAUCCGCAAUAUUUCUAAAUAGUCAUGCUUAAAAUAUCUCAAAUAAUACCAAAUUGACACUAAAAGUAGCAAGUAAAAUGGUAAGGAUUAUGUGAGUUAUGUGGAAAGUUUAAGCAUAUGCCCCUGUCAAGACCUGUGUCUUAGGUGUUGAUCUUCAAGAAAAAAGUCUGCCAUUCUUCUCUUUGCAGUUUUGUGGUUUUGAGAAAACAAAUGAAUACAUAAUGUAUGGAAAUGAGAAAUGCACUGUCUGCACAGCCUCACCACUAAAGUGACUUCAGCCAGGCAAUCCUUCUUUCUUCUCAAGCACUCAUCGAGUCUCACAAACUCUUGACAUAGAAGCAGAUGGGGUUUUGAUCUCGAUCCUUUAUUUUAUGCAAGAAAACAAAAAUAUCUAAUCUAGUUGAUGACAAAAUAGAUCUUUUAGUAUGAGAUUGCAGGUGGUCCUUCACCUGACUUACUAGCUUAUUCCAUAUACCGACGGCUACGAAAACAUGGACUAAGCCCUUUCUGAAAGCGUACGGUACACGAUCAAUUAGUUACCAGAGAUAAGCUCACACAUGGCUGAGGUCAGUGCAUGGCAAGCUAUGUUCUAGACUUUCCCUAGAAGAUCCAUAUUACUAAAUUGUGUGUAUUAUACACUGAAUCCAAAAGAAACAUAGAUGAAAUCAUAGGAUCUAAAAUUACAUCAUAAAUCCUAAAUCACAACAUCAAGGCUUAGAUCUUUCAAUCGAAGGCUCAGACCACACCCAUAAACCAUCACAGAGGCACCGAGACUCAAAACGAACCCUCACAACCCAAACACACCAAGGUCACUUCAUUGGACUCAAGAAAUCAAACUGCCUACCUUCGGUCGAUCACUCACACAAAGGAGAAUCACACAAGAACACGAUUAUCACAAAGAUAAUCAACCAGAAAUCUCACAAAGAGAAGAAGGAAGGGUCACACAGACGAGAGGACUCGAAGGUUCCACACGGCAGAGAGAAAGAGAAAAACAGAAAAUGACGAUCCACCAGCCAAACAAGGGAGUAAGGAUAUUAUUUAUAGUAAGUAUCAUCAACCGUUGAUCAGCGGGUCAAUCCAACGGUCCAAGAGCGACUAAUGGUGUGGGCUGAAUAUUGGGCUCGGUUAAGUGGGCCUUCUAGGUAUAUAUUUAAUGGACCAAGUAAUAAAUCCAAUUUGGGCCUUUUCAUCAUUGCCUAACAGUUGGACUGGAUCAAAUGGCAUCACAGCCCAACAGUGUGAAUCCUCUCUCAAGAGAGCUUCAGAAAGAGCCUUUGUCUAGCCUCGCUUUAAAUUUACAGGCAAAGGCUAAACUAAUCAACCUGUAGCUUGAUGCUCUGUGAGCUUUCUCUCUUCUAAUUAACUUGAAUUUAUUGUUUAGUCAUUAGUGGUGUGGGUUGACUGACUCGUCUGCUCUAUGACCUGGUGCUCAGCCUAUGCAAAAGCUGAAGUUUGGUUAAUGAUGAGUAAGGAAAAUUGAGCCAUUUUCUCCAAACUUGGUUAAAGGAAUUCAUCAUUUCUUCCAAUCCACUGACAUAUUGCCGGUUCAUUCGUUAGGUUGCCACAUAUGUUGAACCUCCAAAAAUUCUCAUGGGAUAGUCUAAAUAAAACGCUUCCUGUCUCUGUACCAGAGAAAAACAGAAAAUGACGAUCCACCAGCCAAACAAGGGAGUAAGGAUAUUAUUUAUAGUAAGUAUCAUCAACUGUUGAUCAGCGGGUCAAUCCAACGGUCCAAGAGCGACUAAUGGUGUGGGCUGAAUAUUGGGCUCGGUUAAGUGGGCCUUCUAGGUAUAUAUUUAAUGGACCACCAUUUCUUCCAAUCCACUGACAUAUUGCCGGGUCAUUCGUUAGGUUGCCACAUAUGUUGAACCUCCAAAAAUUCUCAUGGGAUAGUCUAAAUAAAACGCUUCCUGUCUCUGUACCAUUUUUUAACUCCGAUUUCCAUUUUUAUUAACCGUUUUACAUCAAGAACAUUUUCUGAUAAAUGACGUAUUUUCUUGAUAUGGUCCACCCUAUUAACGAAAAAGAAAAGAAAAUGUAGCCAUCGCCCAAACGCAAAUGAUGAGGUGAUUGGAAAGCUCAGCAAUCACACCAGUGAACAAUUGAUGUGGCCAUAUUACCUAAUGACACAUAUUUAAACACAUUAUGCUUGUAUACUGUUUGUUUGAUUCCUUCUAUGCAAAAUUAGAUACUGGAUGCCCAAUUUUUUUAUUCGGGACAAACAAUUAAGUAAACUGAGUUUUGCCUCCUCAAAAAUGAUAUGCACGCACACUCUUAACCUCGUAGGAAGACCACGUCUAAUACUCCUUAAACUAUCCAAAAUAAGUGUCGUAAUUCUAUACAUAUCCUACACUUCUCCAACAAAGUGUGACGUUUCUGUUAUCUGUGUAUUUUUUAUGACUAAGGGUGAUUAUUGUGUAUUGGAGGUAUAUUUAAGGGCUGAAGGGGUACCUGUUCAUGCUUAUAACCCCCCAAAUAUACCUCCGUUGUUAUGUAGUAAAAGUAUGGGACCCAAUUGCCUAGCAUCAAGUGCUCUAUAUCAAAUCCUAAUUGGGUGUUUCCAAAUUAUUGGCUCCUGUUAAGUUUUUCCUAUUACAUUGGAUCAAUUGGUGGAGAGUUUCUUCUAAUUAGAUAUCACCAGAGCCUUUAUUUAAUCACACUUGUAGUGCCAGUGAUUUCUUGUCUCUGUCGACUUUUUCAUCUUCUUGUCUGUUGAAGUUUGUUUUCAAAAGUUUCCUGGUUGUAGGAUUUUAACUUUUCCGGAAAGUAAGCAUUAAUAUUUAAAUCUUCUCUGAAUGUACCAGAUUGAUUUCAUAUUGGGGGGUUGGAUUCACUGCAAAUUGCCAUCAGGUGGAGCCUUGAACAUAACGAGCCUCUCGUCCUAUUUGAAACCCUCAACCGAUGCACCACAUUUCCUGAUGGACGUUAUCCAGAGCAGCAGAACGUCACUUGUACUGAUUCUCGAUUUAACGCCACGCAAGGACCUCAUCUUAAAUCUCGACUACCUUAAAACUUACUAUGAAGACACUCAGUUGGACACGUACAGACAACGCCUUCAGAGGCUACCUGAGGUAAGACCUUAUUUCUCGCCAUCUUUAUAUAUCCGCUCUGUUCUUUCUCCUACAGCUAUACUAGUUAGCAUCGACACUGGAGAUGGUGAAAAAAGUGUUGAGGAAAUGAUUCAAGAACAUAUCAAUCCUAUUGCCAAGGAGAUAGUGCAAUUCUGGUUGGAUAAGUGUGCUUCUGUGGAGAAACAAGUGGGAGAAACUGAGAGGGCUUAUUUGGUAAAGAGGGAUCAAAUAAUUAAGAGUAAGACCAU
Molecule: long non-coding RNA, 4380 nt
Filed under: Olea europaea (common olive)
Lineage: Eukaryota; Viridiplantae; Streptophyta; Magnoliopsida; Lamiales; Oleaceae
Description: long non-coding RNA (OEUR_LNC005984)
Source: RNAcentral